UACAGGGGGGGCAAGCGUUGUUCGGAAUUACUGGGCGUAAAGGGUUCGUAGGUGGCCAACUAAGUCGGACGUGAAAUCCCUCGGCUUAACCGAGGAACUGCGUCCGAUACUGAAAGGCUUGAAUCCGGGAGAGGGAUGUGGAAUUCCAGGUGUAGCGGUGAAAUGCGUAGAUAUCUGGAGGAACACCGGUGGCGAAGGCGGCAUCCUGGACCGGUAUUGACGCUGAGGCGCGAAAGCUAGGGGAGCAAACGGG
RNAcentral lists this ribosomal RNA (253 nucleotides) under uncultured bacterium. RNAcentral's name for it is "partial 16S ribosomal RNA". It matches the Rfam family "Bacterial small subunit ribosomal RNA", at positions 524 to 776 of the family's 1533-position model. The record is from RNAcentral.